GGCCUCAAAUCAGGUAGGACUACCCGCUGAACUUAAGCAUAUCAAUAAGCGGAGGAAAAGAAACUAACAAGGAUUCCCCUAGUAACGGCGAGUGAAGCGGGAAGAGCUCAAAUUUGAAAUCUGGUGGACUUUGUUCAUCCGAGUUGUAAUCUAGAGAAGUGUUUUCCGUGCCGGCCAAUGUACAAGUCCCUUGGAACAGGGCGUCAUAGAGGGUGAGAAUCCCGUACUUGACAUUGAUCACCGGCGCUCUGUGAUACAUUUUCAAAGAGUCGAGUUGUUUGGGAAUGCAGCUCAAAAUGGGUGGUAAAUUCCAUCUAAAGCUAAAUAUUGGCGAGAGACCGAUAGCGAACAAGUACCGUGAGGGAAAGAUGAAAAGCACUUUGGAAAGAGAGUUAAACAGUAUGUGAAAUUGUUAAAAGGGAAACGAU
This 428-nucleotide ribosomal RNA is filed under the name Zyzygomyces bachmannii. RNAcentral describes it as "LSU rRNA". It matches the Rfam family "Eukaryotic large subunit ribosomal RNA", at positions 1 to 423 of the family's 3401-position model. The record is from RNAcentral. Lineage: Eukaryota; Fungi; Basidiomycota; Tremellomycetes; Filobasidiales; Filobasidiaceae.